AGCAGGCCCAGCACGGAGCGGAGGGAAGAGAGGCAGCCUCAGGGUUCUACUGGUUGGAGUGGAGCCCAGGGGCAGGGGCACCUAGGCACUGGGCUAGAUCAGUGAGCUGUGUUCCUGCACGUCUUUUGCAAAGAGUAUGUGACAUGCUGAAACAUCAGAUGAAGACAAAUAAUACCCAGCAAAAUAAAACAAAGAGUGAGGACACAGGGUACGAUUGUGUACCAGAGGUCUAUUGGGGAAGAAAUGGGCUUGAGAUAUCAUAUCUCUGAAAUAUGGAGCAGCAACUUCACAGCACAUCAUUUUGAAAUGUUUAUCACAGAAAAAAAAUCUCCCCUUUUUACUAUUAAUAGUGUAGCAGGAGGAUUGUUUAGGACACUGAGAAAAUCAGAAGGGCAGCUUUUUUAUGGGUUUUAAAUAUUUAUACACUCAGAUUGGGAUGUGUUGACUGAAGUGAAAACACUGAAAUUAAAAGGAAAUAUGGUAUCGAAUAAGAGACCAUGCUGAGUUUCAUGAUAAAGAAAUCAUCCUUGCCUUGUUUUACCCAGCUCAAGCUGCCUCUGUAGGUUCAUUUUAAACCAUCAAUUAACAUGUUUAGCAGAGUGAAAGAUAGAAAAUGUUUCCACUCGACAGCAUGCAAUCUGCCCUGGGGAUAUUUGUAUAAAGGUGGCCACUAUUCAGACUCUUAGCCCCACUUUGGGAAGAUACAACUUGAUAGGGUGUUGAUGGUGACAAACUCAGUUAUGUUGAAGACACAUGAAAAUUGCACUGGUCUUAUAGUGUAUUACUAUGUAACACUGUCUCCAUGUUAUCUGGACCAGAAAUAUUUCAUUUCACUAGAUCGCAAUCUUGUAAGACAGCCUUGUCAUUUUAAUUUGUCACUCUUUUCGUACUACAUCUCACUGAAGUCUCAUCUCCCCAACCAAGUGCCAUGGGCUACUACUGUGGAAAGAAACCUGUCACAGAAUAGAAAAGGUAAAAACCACCAAACAGAAAGUUUAUGGCUUAAAUCACCACUCAGAGCUCCAUUCCCAUAGGAUUAACAGGUAGUACAAUUCACCCAAAGCUGAGUUAGAAAGAUCUGUAAUUUCAGCUAUUAUAUAUAAACACACAUCUCUCCUGCUGUUUCUUGUUACUACGUCUACAACUGCUAUCACUCCUGUAUAGCAAUGUCACUCACAGAAGAAAGCAGAAGGGAGAAAUGGAAAAAAAUGAAAGCAUUAGUAGUUAAGAAGAGAAGUUAUGACUGACAUGACGUCAGAUUCAAAAGUAGCCCUGGGAACUCUGCAGCAGAGUUGAUGGUAAGAGAAAAAUAUGGAAAAACUACAAAGAUACAGAAGAUAAAACAUAACUGACUUGAAGAUUCUUGAAUGGUGAAGUCAGUAAUUUCAUCAGUAUCUCUUUAGCUAAGAAGCCAACACACAUAAAAAGAAAACAGUGUUAUAGGCCUAUCUGGUAUAUUUCGAUUCCUCAUAAAAUAUGACAUGUUUUCCUUUCAAAGUGUCAAAGAGCCAACACUAGGACAGAUAGGGAAGUUUUUUCUCUUAAGAAUAAACACAAUUAUAUUCUUGUUUCCUCUGAUUUUUUUUUAAUCUACAGAAAUAAUUAAUCAAAAUAAAUGAGCUAGUAACCCCACAAUACUAGCAGCACUUUUGUGUCAUUUUCCGUACAGUGCAGCAUGUGUGACAGGAUUUCACCAAAAUGACUUAUGUUUCUGAACAUUGUAUUAAAGCAUAUUAUUUGUAAAUGAAAAUAUGGAAUUGACUAUUGAAGUCAUACCAUUUCUUUGGUUCUGAGAGCUUCUCUGGAA
Molecule: long non-coding RNA, 1807 nt
Organism: Alligator sinensis (Chinese alligator)
Lineage: Eukaryota; Metazoa; Chordata; Crocodylia; Alligatoridae
Exons: 3
Source: RefSeq, a predicted model, not a curated record